UGGGGAAUAUUGCACAAUGGGGGAAACCCUGAUGCAGCGACGCCGCGUGAACGAAGAAGGUAUUCGUAUCGUAAAGUGCUGUCCUAUGGGAAGAUAAUGACAGUACCAUAGAAGAAAGCUCCGGCUAAAUACGUGCCAGCAGCCGCGGUAAUACGUAUGGAGCGAGCGUUGUCCGGAAUUAUUGGGCGUAAAGGGUACGCAGGAGGUUUAAUAAGUCGAAUGUUAAAGAUCGGGGCUCAACCCCGCAAAGCAUUGGAAACUGAUAGACUUGAGUAGUGGAGAGGGAAGUGGAAUUCCUAGUGUAGUGGUGAAAUACGUAGAUAUUAGGAGGAAGACCAGUAGCGAAGGCGACUUUCUGGACACAAACAGACGCUGAGGUACGAAAGAGUGGGGAGCAAACAGG
RNAcentral lists this ribosomal RNA (403 nucleotides) under bacterium. Its description in RNAcentral is "partial 16S ribosomal RNA". It matches the Rfam family "Bacterial small subunit ribosomal RNA", at positions 355 to 776 of the family's 1533-position model. The record is from RNAcentral.